CGAACGCUGGCGGCGUGCUUACCACAUGCACGUCGACCGAUGACGACCGAGCUUGCUCGGUCUGAUUAGUGGCGAACGGGUGAGUAACACGUGAGCAACCUGCCCUUCACUCUGGGAUAACCUCGGGAAAUCGGGGCUAAUACCGGAUAUGAGCUCCUGUCGCAUGGCGGGUGUUGGAAAGUUUUUCGGUGAAGGAUGGGCUCGCGGCCUAUCAGUUUGUUGGUGAGGUAGUGGCUCACCAAGGCGAUGACGGGUAGCCGGCCUGAGAGGGCGACCGGCCACACUGGGACUGAGACACGGCCCAGACUCCUACGGGAGGCAGCAGUGGGGAAUAUUGCACAAUGGGCGAAAGCCUGAUGCAGCGACGCCGCGUGAGGGAUGACGGCCUUCGGGUUGUAAACCUCUUUCAGCAGGGAAGAAGCGAAAGUGACGGUACCUGCAGAAGAAGCGCCGGCUAACUACGUG
This 465-nucleotide ribosomal RNA is filed under the name uncultured bacterium. RNAcentral's name for it is "partial 16S ribosomal RNA". It matches the Rfam family "Bacterial small subunit ribosomal RNA", at positions 30 to 507 of the family's 1533-position model. The record is from RNAcentral.